AGAGUUUGAUCCUGGCUCAGAGCGAACGCUGGCGGCGUGCCUAACACAUGCAAGUCGAACGUGAAAUGGGGCAACCCAAAGUAAAGUGGCGUACGGGUGAGUAACGCGUAGGUAAUCUACCCUAGAGUCUGGAAUAACCGGCCGAAAGGCUGGCUAAUACUGGAUAGAGCGACGGAAUCGGUAAUUCGGUUUUUCGGGAAAGGGAGCCCGCAAGGGCCCUCGCUUUAGGAUGAGCCUGCGUCUCAUUAGCUAGUUGGUAAGGUAAUGGCUUACCAAGGCUUUGAUGGGUAGCUGGUCUGAGAGGAUGAUCAGCCACACUGGAACUGAAACACGGUCCAGACUCCUACGGGAGGCAGCAGUGGGGAAUCUUGCGCAAUGGACGAAAGUCUGACGCAGCCACGCCGCGUGAGUGAAGAAGGCCUUCGGGUUGUAAAGCUCUGUCGGAGGGGACGAACAUCUAUACAGUUAAGAGCUGGGUAGACUGACGGUACCCUAAAGAGA
RNAcentral lists this ribosomal RNA (501 nucleotides) under uncultured Polyangiaceae bacterium. RNAcentral's name for it is "bacterial SSU rRNA". It matches the Rfam family "Bacterial small subunit ribosomal RNA", at positions 8 to 488 of the family's 1533-position model. Lineage: Bacteria; Pseudomonadati; Myxococcota; Polyangiales; Polyangiaceae. The record is from RNAcentral.